GAGCUUGCUCCCUGGGUGACGAGCGGCGGACGGGUGAGUAAUGUCUGGGAAACUGCCUGAUGGAGGGGGAUAACUACUGGAAACGGUAGCUAAUACCGCAUAACGUCGCAAGACCAAAGAGGGGGACCUUCGGGCCUCUUGCCAUCAGAUGUGCCCAGAUGGGAUUAGCUAGUAGGUGGGGUAAUGGCUCACCUAGGCGACGAUCCCUAGCUGGUCUGAGAGGAUGACCAGCCACACUGGAACUGAGACACGGUCCAGACUCCUACGGGAGGCAGCAGUGGGGAAUAUUGCACAAUGGGCGCAAGCCUGAUGCAGCCAUGCCGCGUGUGUGAAAAAGGCCUUCGGGUUGUAAAGCACUUUCAGCGAGGAGGAAGGUGGUGAACUUAAUACGUUCAUCAAUUGACGUUACUCGCAGAAAAAGCACCGGCUAACUCCGUGCCAGCAGCCGCGGUAAUACGGAGGGUGCAAGCGUUAAUCGGAAUUACUGGGCGUAAAGCGCACGCAGGCGGUUUGUUAAGUCAGAUGUGAAAUCCCCGGGCUCAACCUGGGAACUGCAUUUGAAACUGGCAAGCUAGAGUCUCGUAGAGGGGGGGUAGAAUUCCAGGUGUAGCGGUGAAAUGCGUAGAGAUCUGGAGGAAUACCGGUGGCGAAGGCGGCCCCCUGGACGAAGACUGAC
RNAcentral lists this ribosomal RNA (676 nucleotides) under Serratia surfactantfaciens. RNAcentral describes it as "bacterial SSU rRNA". It matches the Rfam family "Bacterial small subunit ribosomal RNA", at positions 76 to 744 of the family's 1533-position model. Lineage: Bacteria; Pseudomonadati; Pseudomonadota; Gammaproteobacteria; Enterobacterales; Yersiniaceae. The record is from RNAcentral.